Molecule: ribosomal RNA, 797 nt
Filed under: bacterium enrichment culture
Lineage: Bacteria
Description: bacterial SSU rRNA
Rfam family: Bacterial small subunit ribosomal RNA
Source: RNAcentral
AGAGUUUGAUCCUGGCUCAGGAUGAACGCUGGCGGCGUGCCUAAUACAUGCAAGUCGAGCGGUAAGGCCCUUCGGGGUACACGAGCGGCGGACGGCUGAGUAACACGUAGGAACGUACCCCAAAGUGAGGGAUAAGCACCAGAAAUGGUGUCUAAUACCGCAUGUGCUCUAAGGAGUAAAGCUCCGGCGCUUUGGGAACGGCCUGCGCAUGAUUAGCUAGAUGGUGAGGUAAUGGCUCACCAUGGCGACGAUCAUUAGCUGGUCUGAGAGGAUGAUCAGCCAGACUGGGACUGAGACACGGCCCAGACUCCUACGGGAGGCAGCAGUAGGGAAUUUUCCACAAUGGGCGAAAGCCUGAUGGAGCAACGCCGCGUGCAGGAUGAAUGCCUUCGGGUUGUAAACUGCUUUUAUAUGUGACGAAUAUGACGGUAGCAUAUGAAUAAGGAUCGGCUAACUCCGUGCCAGCAGCCGCGGUCAUACGGAGGAUCCAAGCGUUAUCCGGAAUUACUGGGCGUAAAGAGUUGCGUAGGCGGCAUAGUAAGCAGAUAGUGAAAGCGUGUGGCUCAACCAUACUCACAUUAUCUGAACUGCUAAGCUAGAGGACGAGAGAGGUCACUGGAAUUCCUAGUGUAGGAGUGAAAUCCGUAGAUAUUAGGAGGAACACCAAUGGCGUAGGCAGGUGACUGGCUCGUUCCUGACGCUCAGGCACGAAAGCGUGGGGAGCAAACGGGAUUAGAUACCCCGGUAGUCCACGCCGUAAACGAUGGAUGCUAGCUGUUAGAGGUAUCGACCCCUCU